Molecule: ribosomal RNA, 301 nt
Filed under: uncultured bacterium
Lineage: Bacteria
Description: partial 16S ribosomal RNA
Rfam family: Bacterial small subunit ribosomal RNA
Source: RNAcentral
CAGUCGCCACGGGAAUACGUAGGGUGCAAGCGUUAAUCGGAAUUACUGGGCGUAAAGCGUGCGCAGGCGGUUUGUUAAGACAGAUGUGAAAUCCCCGGGCUCAACCUGGGAACUGCAUUUGUGACUGGCAGGCUAGAGUAUGGCAGAGGGGGGUGGAAUUCCGCGUGUAGCAGUGAAAUGCGUAGAUAUGCGGAGGAACACCGAUGGCGAAGGCAGCCCCCUGGGCCAAUACUGACGCUCAUGCACGAAAGCGUGGGGAGCAAACAGGAUUAGAUACCCCAGUAGUCCCUGUCUCUUAUAC